Molecule: non-coding RNA, 785 nt
Filed under: Blepharipa zebina
Lineage: Eukaryota; Metazoa; Arthropoda; Insecta; Diptera; Tachinidae
Source: RNAcentral
AUAAAGUUUUAUUUUGGCUUAUUAAUUUGUUGUUAAUUUAAUUUAUAUGUAAAUUUUUUUGUGAGUAUUUUAUUAUUUUAAUAAUAAUAAAAUUUAUUAUAAUUCGCAAUAAUUAGUUUUAUUAAUUAAAGAAAUUUAGAAAAAGUAAUAUUAAAAAGUAUUGAUUAAAUUUGUGCCAGCAUUCGCGGUUAUACAAAUAAUACAAAUAAAUUUUAUUAGUUAAAGUUAAAUUAAUUUUUUAUAAAAAAAAUUAAAUUUAUUAAGUGAAAUUUUUAAAUUUAUAGUUAAUUUAUUAAAAAUAAUUAAAGCUUAAAAAUUUUUAAAAUAAACUAGGAUUAGAUACCCUAUUAUUAAAAAUGUAAAUAAUAAAAUUAAAGUAGUAGUAGUUAUGUUCUUGAAACUUAAAAAAUUUGGCGGUAUUUUAGUCUAUUCAGAGGAACCUGUUUUAUAAUUGAUAAUCCACGAUGGACCUUACUUAUUUUUGUUAGCAGUUUAUAUACCGUCGUUAUUAGAAUAUUUUAUAAGAAUAUUAAUAUUCUAAAUUUUUUUAAAAAAGUAUAUCAGAUCAAGGUGUAGCUUAUAUUUAAGUAAAAAUGGGUUACAAUAAAUUUAUUUAUAUGAAUAUAAAUUUGAAAUGUUUAUUAAAAGUGGAUUUGAUAGUAAAAUUAUAAAGAUUAAUAAUUUGAUUUUAGCUCUAAAAUAUGUACAUAUCGCCCGUCACUCUUAUUAUUAAGGUAAGAUAAGUCGUAACAUAGUAAAUGUACUGGAAAGUGUAUUUAGAAUGC